Molecule: ribosomal RNA, 637 nt
Filed under: uncultured bacterium
Lineage: Bacteria
Description: bacterial SSU rRNA
Rfam family: Bacterial small subunit ribosomal RNA
Source: RNAcentral
GCUCAACCGAGGAAGUGCUUCGAAAACUGGUAAACUUGAGUGCAGAAGAGGAAAGUGGAACUCCAUGUGUAGCGGUGGAAUGCGUAGAUAUAUGGAAGAACACCAGUGGCGAAGGCGGCUUUCUGGUCUGUAACUGACGCUGAGAUUCGAAAGCAUGGGUAGCAAACAGGAUUAGAUACCCUGGUAGUCCAUGCCGUAAACGAUGAGUGCUAAGUGUUGGAGGGUUUCCGCCCUUCAGUGCUGCAGCUAACGCAUUAAGCACUCCGCCUGGGGAGUACGAUCGCAAGAUUGAAACUCAAAGGAAUUGACGGGGGCCCGCACAAGCGGUGGAGCAUGUGGUUUAAUUCGAAGCAACGCGAAGAACCUUACCAGGUCUUGACAUACCAUGAAAGGCUUAGAGAUAAGUCUUUCCCUUCGGGGACAUGGAUACGGGUGGUGCAUGGUUGUCGUCAGCUCGUGUCGUGAGAUGUUGGGUUAAGUCCCGCAACGAGCGCAACCCUUAUUAUCAGUUGCCAGCAUUCAGUUGAGCACUCUGGUGAGACUGCCGGUGAUAAACCGGAGGAAGGUGGGGACGACGUCAAAUCAUCAUGCCCCUUAUGACCUGGGCUACACACGUGCUACAAUGGUCGGUACAACG